This 446-nucleotide ribosomal RNA is filed under the name uncultured bacterium. Its description in RNAcentral is "partial 16S ribosomal RNA". It matches the Rfam family "Bacterial small subunit ribosomal RNA", at positions 338 to 795 of the family's 1533-position model. The record is from RNAcentral.
CCUACGGGAGGCAGCAGUCGAGAAUCAUUCACAUUGGGGGAAACCCUGAUGGUGCGACGCCGCGUGGGGGCAUGAAGGUCUUCGGAUUGUAAACCCCUGUCAUGUGGGAGCAAAUUAAAAAGAUAGUACCACAAGAGGAAGAGACGGUUAACUCUGUACCAGCAGCCGCGGUACUACAGAGGUCUCAAGCGUUGUUCGGAAUCAAUGGGCGUAAAGCGUGCGUAGGCUGCUUCGUAAGUCGUGUGUGAAAGGCGCGGGCUCAACCCGCGGACGGAACAUGAUACUGCGAGACUAGAGUAAUGGAGGGGGAACCGGAAUUCUCGGUGUAGCAGUGAAAUGCGUAGAUAUCGAGAGGAACACUCGUGGCGAAGGCGGGUUCCUGGACAUUAACUGACGCUGAGGCACGAAGGCCAGGGGAGCGAAAGGGAUUAGAUACCCGUGUAGUC